UAUUCUUCAUGAAGAAACAUCUCAUUUUAACAAUAUUUCUAUAUUUAAGAUUUUGUGUUAAAUCCGACAAAGUGUAAUAUACAAGAGGAGGUUUUUAAACUCUCUGAGGGUCUUGGCUGUGAUGUUUAUAUAGAAGCUACAGGGGCAGGCAGCUCAGUAAGGCAAGGUCUGAAAGUGAUUGCAAGGCAUGGCACCUUUGUAGAAUUUUCUGUUUUUGGCGGGGAAAUAUCAGCUGAUUGGAGCAUUAUUGGUAAACUAUAAACUACAUCCAUCUACACACGUACUCGGGAGUCGGGUUCAUCCUAUAAGUACUGGUGCAGACAUUAUGGGAAGCUGGGGCAAUUUGUACGGUACACAGCACACACACAGACUAUAGACGGUUAAAGUGGGACGGUAAACCAAUUAUAAACCAACUCCAUCUUGUAAGAGUAUUGUGACAUAGCUCUAAAUAUUUUACUGCAACUACACAGUACCUGUUGUGAUGGCUUGGAUAAUGCAACUUUUAGAAUGGGGUCAAAAGUGUACAAUUCAAGCUCUGUCUAAAUGUCAGUCCAUUACUUCUAAUGAACCGGAAUUUUCAGUGCAACACUAGCUAGGCCGAUUUGGGUUUUUUUGUUCUUUUUACCUUUCUAAAUUUCCAAUUCCAGCUCUCUUAUGCGAAGUUUAUAAUAUUUUAUUUGCAUUUACAAACUAAAAAUAGGUUAACGCCGAUCUCUAUAUAUAAAUAUGAAAGCUUUUAGCUCCGAUAUAUGAGUUAGCUAUUGCUGACCAAACUGCUGAACCAAAAUGGUUGGCAUUUCUUUUCAAAAAUUCAGUUUUUUUUUAAAUUCACCUUUUUUCAAAGGUUUUUAAAAUUAUUUUUGUUACAGAUUAUACCAAAAUAUUUAAAUUUUUGAAACUUAAAAAGAAGAAAAUCAAUAAUCCAUAGCAUUUUAACUACUGGGUAUCCGAAAAUACAAACACAGUGUAAAGCAUCGCGUCUUUGAUCGUAAGAUUUUUAUUUAAUGGAAUUGUUAUAAAUUUAAAUUUAAAAUUUAAAAAAAACAUACCCGAUUCACAACGGUACCCUUUAAACCGUAAUCCGAGAAAAAAAUGGGUAUUAGAACUUAGUUUUUUCUGGAUAUAAAAAGUUAAAAGUGGCUAAUUCUGAUAAUUUCUCCAUUGUUUCUAAAGCAAGAAAAAUGCAAGUCACUCUUGAAGAAAAACCACAAAAGAAAGUAAUUAGUUUUCAACAAACAAAAACAUGGAUUUCUAAUUUAUCAGGAUAAGACAAAGCUUUCUAUGGGACCUAUGAAAAUCUGACAUGCCACUUUAUCAAUGGACGCUCAUUUUAAAUUACGUUUACAGUCAAUUUAAUAUAAACGUCGACAAUUUUAGACAUUCCUAAAGAAUAUCCUAAUAUCGUCUAUAAAAUUGCAUGUUUAUUAGGACUCCGUCUUUGACAAUAACUUUCGUGUUUUUAUAUAAAAAAUUACC
This is a long non-coding RNA of Eurytemora carolleeae, 1476 nucleotides long. RefSeq lists it as uncharacterized. The record is from RefSeq and is a predicted model, not a curated record. The transcript has 3 exons. Lineage: Eukaryota; Metazoa; Arthropoda; Copepoda; Calanoida; Temoridae.